UCUCCUCCACGGGCCGCAGUGGGGAAGUUCUCAGGCCACAGAUGGCCUACGGAACCCCUGCUAUAGAUGCUUCCCCAAAUGCUUUGUGAUUUCACUAACUGCCACUCGGACCAGUUCCAUGCUCUUCUAGAACUUUCUACAGCUCAUAGUACAUCCUUAUUAAUCCUUCUCACUAGCUCCUAGGCUCUUCUCAGUAUGUUUUCAUUAAAUUUAUAAUUACAGGGUGUUCUUUCUGUUGGGUAUGGGCUGUUGUAUCGUUCUCUGGUUCAUUACACAUGGUUUAUUGUGUGAGUAUCAGACCUAAUGAUCAGUGAUUUUAAGGACACUGUGGCAAUCCAAGAUGGAGUCUGAAAACUGUCAUCUUGUGACUCCAUCUUGUGAUCUUCUGUACACUGUCAGCCUGGUCUGGAUGAAACUGGACUGAACAGGUUUUCCCCACCACUGGGCAAUCCCCAAGGUUCCAUCACCUCAGACUGUUUCCCGCCUUUCUAGAGAUCAUACCAUGUUUUCCCACCAUAGAUUCUAUAAAAGAACUGUGAUCACAGGCUGAUGGGGCAGUCCAUCAUAGCGACUGUGUGUGUGCGGUUUUGGGUCUUCGUGGCACUCGUGCAUCAGCGAAGAACACCAUUCGUUCCCGGACUGAAGAGAAAAGAAGACACAUUACCAUCUUACCUGUCCUGCACCUGGAGAAUGUCACCAUCCAGAGGGUUCCUGGUCCGCUUCUUCUGUCCUGACAUCCAUCGAAAGAAUCUCCAGUGUUCCUUCUCCAAGGGUUUAAAUUGCCUAUAGAGUAAAGGAAGAAACAGGUGAGAAUUGGGAACACCAUGGACAUAGACCCCACUGCAUCCUCUUGUUAUGCCUCACUCACUGCUUGUGGAAACACACCUGCUGAUGAUGGGGUGCUUUGGAAUUUUCACCUUCCUGUGGCAAUGCUUUACCAAUGCAACUCUCAUCUGGUGUGAGAACUGGAAUGAUCCUGAUCUCUGAAAAAACAACAACAUUACUCCCCUCUCCUGCCUCCUGAGUAACUCACUUCAGGUGUCUGAGUGCCGAGAAUAUACAUGGAUUCCGUGGGCAGGGCACUGAAGCAAAGACAAUCUAGUCAGUCCUCAUUCUCCAGGAGCAGUUUAGCUUCUGGAUGUUGGGAGUUCAGAGUCUACUGCUGAGGGCUGUGAUCUGUGAAUUAAACAGUGGAAUGUGGGAGAAACGUCAAGUUCUAGUUUUGUUUUGUUUUAAACGUUUGUUUUUAUCUCAUGGUUGUGCCCCUGGACAAGAUAGAAACUCCCCUUCCACCACUUUAGGAGUCCAA
Mauremys reevesii (Reeves's turtle) is the source of this 1309-nucleotide long non-coding RNA. RefSeq lists it as uncharacterized. The record is from RefSeq and is a predicted model, not a curated record. The transcript is spliced from 3 exons. NCBI's taxonomy places the organism in Eukaryota, Metazoa, Chordata, Testudines, Geoemydidae.